UAAUUGAAGAGUUUGAUCAUGGCUCAGAUUGAACGCUGGCGGCAGGCCUAACACAUGCAAGUCGAACGGUAACAGGGAGCAGCUUGCUGCUCUGCUGACGAGUGGCGGACGGGUGAGUAAUGUCUGGGAAACUGCCUGAUGGAGGGGGAUAACUACUGGAAACGGUAGCUAAUACCGCAUAACGUCUACGGACCAAAGUGGGGGACCUUCGGGCCUCAUGCCAUCAGAUGUGCCCAGAUGGGAUUAGCUAGUAGGUGGGGUAACGGCUCACCUAGGCGACGAUCCCUAGCUGGUCUGAGAGGAUGACCAGCCACACUGGAACUGAGA
This 327-nucleotide ribosomal RNA is filed under the name Cronobacter sakazakii. RNAcentral describes it as "bacterial SSU rRNA". It matches the Rfam family "Bacterial small subunit ribosomal RNA", at positions 1 to 324 of the family's 1533-position model. Lineage: Bacteria; Pseudomonadati; Pseudomonadota; Gammaproteobacteria; Enterobacterales; Enterobacteriaceae. The record is from RNAcentral.